This 84-nucleotide transfer RNA is filed under the name Mustela putorius furo (domestic ferret). It matches the Rfam family "tRNA". Rfam says of the family: Transfer RNA (tRNA) molecules are approximately 80 nucleotides in length. Lineage: Eukaryota; Metazoa; Chordata; Mammalia; Carnivora; Mustelidae. The record is from Rfam by way of RNAcentral.
GCCUGGGUGGCUCAGUUGGUUGAGCGACUGCCUUCGGCUCAGGUCAUGAUCCCAGACUUGCGGGAUCGAGUCCCGCCUGGGGCU